Molecule: long non-coding RNA, 1336 nt
Organism: Canis lupus familiaris (dog)
Lineage: Eukaryota; Metazoa; Chordata; Mammalia; Carnivora; Canidae
Exons: 3
Source: RefSeq, a predicted model, not a curated record
UCUGGUAUGGUACCAAUAGUGUAUAUUCUCAUCAGAACAACCUAGAUAAAUCUCUGGCUGCAGAAAGCACUACUGCUUUACCUCCUAUGAGAGCACCAAAAGAGCUUGAAAUCUUGUUGUCGAUCUUUUGAGAAAUUACAGAAUAUUGCUAAAGUUUCAAGCAGAAUACACACAGAGUAAAAUGACAACAACCACUGUACAUAAGAGGAAAGCAUGCUAAUGAAGCAAAUCUGAACUGAGAAGAAAAAUACUCUGAAGCUACUCCUAAUGCUUUGCCCUCCGAUGUAUGAAACUGGCAUGACUUAAAUUAACAAAAGAGGAUGUUCAUAUCAUCACUCACUGUUUCCAUUGGUCUGAAAUUUGGGUGAGGCUUGGCUGCAGAGCUUUGGCUCAGGACCCUCGUGAGUUAUUUCAGAAGGAAGAUCUUGAAAGCAUCUUCAUCACUUGUCUGGCACCUGAAUUGGGAAGCCUUGAACAGCUGGGACUCCUUGGAUAUAUCCUUAUCUUUAUGUAGUUUCUCCAUGUGGUCACUCCACUAUGGCACCUUUAGGAUAGCCGAGCUUCUUACAUGCCAAUUCAGGGCUCCCACAGGAUAGGUCUCCAGAGAAAGCAGAUGGAAGCCAAAAUAUACUCCCAAAAUGCUCACUUUGAAACAAGAAAUAGUAUAACUUGGUUAAAUAGAAAGAUUCCUGGAUUACAUUACCAUACUUUUAAAUGCUUUUAAAAUAUUUCUAAAAUGUAUUGGUAAACUUAACUUUUGCACCUUUUUAAGUUCAUCUUCAUAACAUAAUAGAUAAUUAAGGUCUCUGUGACCUCUAAAGAAUAUGAUUACAUACAUCAGUUCUUGCUAAAAAUAAUUGUAGAUGAAGAUACAGAGUUAAAGACUGAACCAAAUGCAUACUCCACAACAAAUGUUUAAUAUCUUUUAAAAAUAAUUUCACCAUCUGAACUUAUUUUUUCUUCUACUUGCCUACUUCCAAAAAUAAAGUAGCUGUCCAAAAAAUGCAUUAGACUGAGAAGUUGGUGAAGGGAUUCUAAUUGCAUUUGAACAAUCAUUCUGUGAAAGCCACAGCACCUGUGUUGUUACGUUAUUUCACUUAAUCUUCAGGAGAACGUUUAGUGAUAGGAAUCAUUUUUACAAGUUUACAAAAAGGAAAAGGAAGGUUUAGAAAGUUUAGUUAACUUGCCUAGGUCCACAGGCAAUAAAUGAAAGUAGUUCUCUUUCCUGACUUGUUAUUUCUAGUACAUAAGGUUGCUUCAAAUUCUAGUUACCCGGAUCCUAGGUAUUGGAAAGUUUUCAACAAUAUGAAAAUAUUAUUUGCAACUGAACCUUGUA